This is a small nucleolar RNA of Sciurus vulgaris (Eurasian red squirrel), 133 nucleotides long. Lineage: Eukaryota; Metazoa; Chordata; Mammalia; Rodentia; Sciuridae. The record is from Ensembl.
GAAAGCAUUUGGAUUUAUGGCAUGCCCAAUUCCCCUGGGCAUUUCAUAGUGUCCCAUGAGCAAACUGUGACCCUCAAUCACUGCCUGGCCUCUAUGCCGGUAGGCUAGUGGUACUGAAGUGGCUUGCACAAAG